Long non-coding RNA from Cyprinus carpio (common carp), 882 nucleotides. NCBI's taxonomy places the organism in Eukaryota, Metazoa, Chordata, Actinopteri, Cypriniformes, Cyprinidae. The record is from Ensembl.
GCCCGACGAAAUCCUGGAAGGAAGUGAGUACUGAGGCGGGCGAAGAAAACAUCUCCAAUUAUAUGCCGUCGAUGACAUCCUGACCCUUCUUCCCCACGUGACGGUGGCGGGAAACAAUUUCAAAUCUCUUGCCCUGUCGGUUGGAAGAAAGAAGAGGGAAGCGUUCGACCCAUUCAGUGUAGCACACCCCGGGUGAAACAACUUACCUGUGUGUGACACCAGUGGAGGCCGUGUUCGGCCCAACGCAGCAGCAGCUUUCGAUCCGCAUCUCUAUCAGCAGUUGGUUGAAGCCUCAGAAAAGGAAUGCCUGACGUCUAUUUCCUCAAAGAUCUAGCGGGUCCCUUUGAAGCGUCUACCUGCACGUUGACCCGUCACUCAGGAUACAGAAACCGCGGAAACCCCCCCCGUACACUUACCAGUAUGGUUUCAGUUGGAUCCCGGCAGCCAUUGUGCAGCUCCACCAGCAUCUGGACGACCGGGAGUCCAACCCGCUGGGCCACCUCGGAGUUCGCCAUGAGUAGCAGCAGGUAUCCAUCGUGCAUUCAAACUCUCAAUACGUACCACUUAUAUCUGUUACGUCCAGGAAAGGAGAGGGCCCUGGACAGUCGUCCUGCAAGCCAGAACAAAGGGGCACUUGUGAAUAAGCUGAUUGUCGUCACAUAGCCAGAAGGAAAGAGGAGUGAAGGACUCACCUGAGAUCUCCCACGACGGAGUCUAAGAGACUCGGACUCACCUGAGAUCUCCCGCGACGGAGUCUAAGAGACUCGAGACUGUUACUCUCCAAUUGGAGAGCUGGAUUUUAGCCUCCCUUCCCCCCUGCCCCAUACCUUUUUUUUUUAGUAAUUUAAUAAAGUUUGUUUUAAUAUUUACUUACCGUCUCUC